CGAGACAGUAGGAAGUGCCACCAAGCCGCCUCCAUGGGCUCCGUCGACGCUGCCUCCACCGCCCGCCCCCUCCAUGUUGUAUUCUUUCCCCUGAUGAGUCCCGGCCACAUGAUCCCCAUGGUCGACAUGGCCCGCCUCUUCGCCCUCCGCGGCGUCCGCUCCUCCGUCGUCACCACCCCGGGCAACGCUCACAGCGUCCGCCCCGCCAUCGACGCCGCCGCCGCCCUCGGCCACCCCCUCGCCCUCCACCUCAUCCCCUUCCCCGACCCUUCCGCCACCGGGCUCGCCCCCGCCUGCGAGAACCUCUCUGAUGUCCCCGCCGCCCAGUUCGACAACUUCGUCAACGCCCUGUUCCUCUUCCAGGCCCCGGUCGCCGCCCUCCUCCGCGACCUCCGCCCCGACGCCCUCCUCUCUGACUCGCUUUUCACGUGGACGGCCGACCUCGCGGCUGACCUCGGUGUCCCCCGCCUCAUAUUCCACGGCGCCGGCGCCUUCCCGCAGUUCGUUAUCUGCAACCUCCUCGGCCACUUCCCCUUCCUGGAGUCCUUCACCAUGGACGGGCUCCCCCACCCGAUUCGUCUCUACAAGGACGGCCUCCCGGAGCUCAUGGACAACUUCGCAUUCCUCCAGCUCCUCGGGGAGGCCGAGGCCAAGAGCUACGGCGUAGUCGUCAACACCUACCGCGAGAUGGAGCCUGCGUACGUGGACUACUACAAGAAACACCACCCGCAGGGGCUCCGCGCCUGGUGCGUUGGGCCCGUGUCCCUCUGCUGCCGGGCGGCGGAAGAGGAGCGAGCCAAGCGCGGGGGCCUGCCGGCCACCGAGGCGAACCGGAUUCUGUCCUGGCUCGACGGGAAGCCGGCGGGGUCGGUGGUGUACUUGUGCUUUGGUAGCCUCUGCCGCCUCGGCGUGGCGCAGCUACGGGCGAUCGCAAAGGGACUGGAGGCGUCGGGCCGGGCGUUCCUGUGGG
RNAcentral lists this long non-coding RNA (970 nucleotides) under Musa acuminata (dwarf banana). Its description in RNAcentral is "long non-coding RNA (MACU_LNC009587)". The record is from RNAcentral. Lineage: Eukaryota; Viridiplantae; Streptophyta; Magnoliopsida; Zingiberales; Musaceae.